CUUUCUUCUUUGGGUUAAGGUGGAAGAUGCCACAACUUGUCUUUUACUUUGGAGCGGCUAUUCCAGCACGUCUCUCACCACUGGACUCCUAAAAACCACACUGAAGUAGCUGGGCCCUGAAUCUUCAUGGAGUGUAUCGACCAAUUCUGGAAUCCACAUGUCUUACCAAGGCAUCCCGCCACCUGUACCUGACCACGGGACACCUAAUAUGAAGCCUCCCCUCCAGCUAAUGAUAAUUUUGACUUUCACACUAUAAGGAAAACCAGUGCCUGGAAAAGUCAGAGGGUUCAAACGGCAAGUCAACUGCAGAAUCAAGAAUAGUGAAUGCCCUCUCAGCCUCCUCUGGCAUGGACCUUCUCUGACACAAACCCUGGCCUUGGGAAUAUGGUGACCGACGAUUCCCACAUUCAGGACUCACAUCAAAAGAGAAGCUGCUCGUCAGUUCUACUCCCUUCCCCACAUUUGGUUUAAGAAAGACUUACUUGAAUUCUGCCUUGUCUCCUUUCUGAUGCUGAUGGCAACAAACCAGGGUAGAUCAAGUGGUUAAGAUGCUGUUUGAAGAGACCAUGACUUGAGAUCCCAGUCCUGCCCCGCCUCACUCACUGGCUGGGCUAUCCACUUGAGCUUUCUGGGACUCAGCGUCCUCAUCUAUAAACAGAGUGAGUUGAAUGACAUGAGCUCUUUCUUUUUUUUUUUUUUUUGAGUUGGAGUCUUGCUCAUCGCCCAGGCUGGAGUGCAGUGGUGCGAUCUCGGCUCACUGCAAGCUCUGCCUCCUGGGUUCAUGCCAUUCUCCUGUCUCAGCCUCCCGAGUAGGUGGGACUACAGGCGCCUGCCACAAUGCCCAGGUAAUUUUUUGUAUUUUUAGCAGAGACGGGGCUUCACCAUGUUAGCCAAGAUGGUCUCGAUCUCCUGACCUUGUGAUCCGCCCGCCUCGGCCUCCCAAAGUGCUGGGAUUACAGGCGUGAGCCACCGCGCCCGGCCUGACAUGAGCUCUUUCAAACUCAACAUUCACCUUCCCAGGUAAGGGGGCAGGCAGACAGUAGAAGAGCCUUCACAUACUCUCCUACCAGACUACCACACUUACAGUACCUGUGUUCUUUAUCUUAGAUGCCAUUGACAUUGAGAUAGUCAUAAUGUAAUGAUACAGUCAUUGUCCACAACAUAUUUAAUAUUUCCUUUAUCCUCCCUGUCAUCCAGGACACUAUACAAACAUAAGGGCAGGUAACAACCUUAUGUUCCAGUUUCAAAGACAAGUAUGCUAAGGGAGACUGGUAGAAGACAUGACAGUUGUUAAAACUUCUAUUUCUCUCCAAGGCUAACUUAAAGAAAACCCUUAGGCUGGGCAAGGUGGCUCACACCUGUAAUUCCAGUACUUUGGGAAGCUGAAGUGGGAGGAUCACUUGAGCCCAGGAGUUCAAGGCCAGCCUGGGCAACAUAGUGAGACCCUGUCUCUACAAAAAAGUAAAAAAUUAGCCAGGUGUGGUGGCAUACAUCUGUAGUCCCAGCUACUUGGGAGGCUGAGGCAGGAUGAUUGCUUGAGCCCUGGAGGUUGAGGCUGCAGCGAGCAAUGGUUGUGCCACUGCACUCCAGCCUGGCCGAGAGAGCAAGACCUUGUCUCAAAAAAUAAAAAAAUAAAAUAAAAUAAAAAGAAAACCCUCAGAUGUUAAUUUUUUCCAACAUAUAAUUAUAAACAUUCCAAAAGUAUAAGAUUAUUCAGAUAUUUAAUUUUCUACUGAGGGACACUAUGGUUCAUUUAACUUUAGAAUCUAUCAUUGGCAAAGAGGUUUAGGGGCCAUCUGGGAGGGGUUUAUGAGCUGUAAAUUGAGUGCACUGAGAGCAAUUAAGCAUUUAAAUUGUAGCGAUGUGUAAAUUUAACAGCUGGUAGGUGUUGUCAAUUGCAAGCUACAGGCCACCUGCUUGGCAGAAAUCUGCAUACAAACUGAAGAAAAUCUAUGGAAUAGUGAAAAGUAGAACCUGGAUUUGGUAAUUUGGAGCAUAAAUUCAGAUGGCACAUACAGCUGAGAACCUUUAAGAUUAAUCUAGAGGUAUGGCAUCUCCUCUAGGAAUGCUUCACGGGACAAAGAUUUGUUAGGCUAUUUAAAAUGUACUUAAAUUACAAGUUAAUUACUCUCACAGUUAAUAGUUACAAGAGAAUCUGACCUUGAAGACUAAUGUAUUUAUCUCAUCAUCGUUUUUUUUUUUUUUGUUUUUUGUUUUUUUUGGUGCUAAAAACAAUGGUUGUUGAAGACUUAGAAGCUUCUAUUUACGUGCACGGUAUUUAUAGAAUUUAUUAAAGUAGUGUCUUUUACCAUGUUCCCAGGAUCCUCCUUAAGGGUUGCCACAAGGGCAAAAAAUAAAAAAAGGGGGGGGGGGAGUUUCUGACAUAUUGAUCUUCUAGCUUUCCAUCAUUGACCAACUUCUUAGUUAAAUACAUGUUUUAAACUCUCUGAAAUAAGGCAUUGAUAAUUGUUGCAGGGGAAAAAGAUCAGGGGAUUUGGAUUAAACUUGGUCUGACCUAUACUUUCUACUCCUCUUUUUCUUUUUCUUUUCUUUUCUUUUCUUUUUUUUUUUUUAAGACAGAGUCUGGCUCGGUCGCCCAGGCUGGAGUGUAGUGCUGCGAUCUCGGCUCACCGCAAGCUCGGCCUCCUGGGUUCAUGCCAUUCUCCUGCCUCAGCCUCCCGAGUAGCUGGGACUACAGGUGCCCGGCUAAUUUUUUGUAUUUUUAGUAGAGAUGGGGUUUCACCAUGAUGUCGAUCUCCUGACCUCAUGAUCGGCCAGCGUCGGCCUCCCAAAGUGCUGGGAUUACAGACCUGAGCCACCCCGCCCGGCUACUCCUCUUUUUCAUCUCAAAAUCUACCCUUCCUAGAUCUGUUGCUUUCUGAGUUGUUGGGUGUUUUUGUUUUACUUGUUUUUUUGAGACAGAAUCUUACUCUGUCACCCAGGCUGGAGUACAGUGUCACAAACUCGGUUCACUGUAACCUCCGCCUCUUGGAUUCAAGCAAUCCUCCUGCCUCAGCCUCAUGAAUAGCUGAAAUUACAGGCGUCACCACCAGGCCCAGCUAAUUUUUGUGUUUUUAGUAGAGACGAAGUUUUGCCAUGCUGGCCAGGCUGGUCACGAACUCCUGGCCUCAGGUGAUUACAAGUGUGAACCACUGUGCCUAGCCUGCUUUCUGAGUUAUUUUUU
RNAcentral lists this long non-coding RNA (3184 nucleotides) under Macaca mulatta (Rhesus monkey). RNAcentral describes it as "lncRNA (ENSMMUG00000051332.1)". Lineage: Eukaryota; Metazoa; Chordata; Mammalia; Primates; Cercopithecidae. The record is from RNAcentral.